CUAUAAGCCUAAUUUAUUUUGUUAAUAAAAUUUUAUUUUUUUUUAGAAAAUAAAAGUGUCUAACCUUAACACUCAAUAUAAAAAAUUAUUUUUUGUUUAACCUUUUACUAAAAACAGGGGUUAGACGUCCUUUAUGUUUAAUAUAAAUUAUACUAGGUAUUAAAAAUAUCAUUUCUAAACCUAAACAAAAUGGCAGUAAUUUAUUCCAGGCAGAGAGGUUUGAAUUAUAACUAGAUACUCCUCUAUAUAUCUUACUAAUAUUUAUUUUUUGUGUGGCUGUUUUAAAACUGAUCAAAAUCUAAUUUAAGCUCAAGUUUUAUGAAAACAAAUUUUAGGUUAUUUUAGCCACAAUAGAGGGCUUAUUACAAAUAGUUACCCUGUUUGUGUACUGAAUUUGCGAGUAAGUUUUACUUAAGAUGUAAUAUUGAAGGGGUUAUAAUUUAAGUACAUAUUGUCCGUCACUCUCUCUUA
RNAcentral lists this ribosomal RNA (471 nucleotides) under Pleuromamma piseki. RNAcentral describes it as "partial 12S ribosomal RNA". The record is from RNAcentral. Lineage: Eukaryota; Metazoa; Arthropoda; Copepoda; Calanoida; Metridinidae.